GUAGGUGGCAAGCGUUGUCCGGAAUUAUUGGGCGUAAAGCGCGCGCAGGCGGUCCUUUAAGUCUGAUGUGAAAGCCCACGGCUCAACCGUGGAGGGUCAUUGGAAACUGGGGGACUUGAGUACAGAAGAGGAAAGCGGAAUUCCAAGUGUAGCGGUGAAAUGCGUAGAGAUUUGGAGGAACACCAGUGGCGAAGGCGGCUUUCUGGUCUGUAACUGACGCCGAGGCGCGAAAGCGUGGGGAGCAAACAGGGAUUAGAUACCCUGGUAGUCCACGCCGUAAACGAUGAGUGCUAAGUGUUAGGGGGUUUCCCGCCCCUUAGUGCUGCAGCUAACGCAUUAAGCACUCCGCCUGGGGAGUACGGCCGCAAGGCUG
This 373-nucleotide ribosomal RNA is filed under the name uncultured organism. RNAcentral's name for it is "partial 16S ribosomal RNA". It matches the Rfam family "Bacterial small subunit ribosomal RNA", at positions 527 to 896 of the family's 1533-position model. The record is from RNAcentral.